RNAcentral lists this ribosomal RNA (455 nucleotides) under uncultured bacterium. RNAcentral's name for it is "bacterial SSU rRNA". It matches the Rfam family "Bacterial small subunit ribosomal RNA", at positions 8 to 463 of the family's 1533-position model. The record is from RNAcentral.
AGAGUUUGAUCCUGGCUCAGAUUGAACGCUGGCGGCAUGCUUUACACAUGCAAGUCGAACGGCAGCACGGGUGCUUGCACCUGGUGGCGAGUGGCGAACGGGUGAGUAAUGCACCGGAACGUACCCAGUAAUGGGGGAUAACACAUCGAAAGAUGUGCUAAUACCGCAUACGCCCUGAGGGGGAAAGCGGGGGAUCGUAAGACCUCGCGUUAUUGGAGCGGCCGAUGCCGGAUUAGCUAGUUGGUGAGGUAAGAGCUCACCAAGGCGACGAUCCGUAGCUGGUCUGAGAGGACGCCCAGCCACACUGGGACUGAGACACGGCCCAGACUCCUACGGGAGGCAGCAGUGGGGAAUUUUAGACAAUGGGCGCAAGCCUGAUCCAGCCAUGCCGCGUGAGUGAAGAAGGCCUUCGGGUUGUAAAGCUCUUUCGCAAGGAAAGAAAACUUAUCUACUAA